Long non-coding RNA from Asparagus officinalis (garden asparagus), 736 nucleotides. RefSeq lists it as uncharacterized. The record is from RefSeq and is a predicted model, not a curated record. NCBI's taxonomy places the organism in Eukaryota, Viridiplantae, Streptophyta, Magnoliopsida, Asparagales, Asparagaceae. The transcript has 2 exons.
CCCCCCCCACACCCAAAUCAACAACAGCCCCAAAAUCGGAGCUCCCCCAAAAUCGUCGACGGCAUUUUUGCAAUUGUCCUGAACCCUCAAAAAAGCCCCAAAUCAAGCCUAAUUUCUACCGCCGACGAACGUCCAACCUCCGAUCACCGCCCGAAGCUCGCCGAAGCUCGCCACCAUCGACAUCCCCUUGCCCCCACUCAGCAUCGCCGCCGGAUCAUCACCUCGACCUCCUCCUUUCCACCGCUCGAAAUCGCCGACUUCGGAGCUCGCCGCCCCCGCUCAGACUCGCCGUCGAGCUCAGGUUCGAAAACUUGAGUUUCUCAUAGCUUUCUUUGUUGCUGUAAUGGCUGUUUGUUUUCAGAAAUUGAGCUUGGUUACUCCAAGCCCAAAGCCUCAAUUGAUGCUGAAGGGACUAUUCAAUGUGCGCUCAUAUCAAAUUCAUUGAGCAUGGCUAGCCUGAAAGAACAUAUUGAUCUGUAUCCUCAUGACUUGCUUCAUGGGUGAUCUUAUGGCUGAACUUAGUGUAUGUUUCUUCUUUGUGAAUUAAAGACAUGAAGCAAGUAGUUAUGUAUAUCUCGCACAUUGUUCAUGGCCGUGUUGUUUUGCUUGUGUUGUUUUGCAGGACCAAAUGUUGUAACCGAAACAUUUUAUCUAAUUGUGUUGUUUUGCUUGCAUUGUUUUGCUUGCAUUGUUUUGCAACAGAUUUCAUUAUAUGUGAGUUUGAGAGUUGCAGUCU